UACGUAGGGUGCGAGCGUUGUCCGGAAUUACUGGGCGUAAAGAGCUUGUAGGUGGUUUGUCGCGUUGUUCGUGAAAUCUCACGGCUUAACUGUGAGCGUGCGGGCGAUACGGGCAGACUAGAGUACUGCAGGGGAGACUGGAAUUCCAGGUGUAGCGGUGAAAUGCGUAGAUAUCUGGAGGAACACCGGUGGCGAAGGCGGCGUCCUGGACCAACACUGACACUGAGGAGCGAAAGCCAGGGGAGCAAACGGG
This 253-nucleotide ribosomal RNA is filed under the name uncultured bacterium. RNAcentral describes it as "partial 16S ribosomal RNA". It matches the Rfam family "Bacterial small subunit ribosomal RNA", at positions 524 to 776 of the family's 1533-position model. The record is from RNAcentral.